This 74-nucleotide transfer RNA is filed under the name Gemmatimonadota bacterium. RNAcentral describes it as "tRNA-Asn". It matches the Rfam family "tRNA". From Rfam's summary of the family: Transfer RNA (tRNA) molecules are approximately 80 nucleotides in length. Their secondary structure includes four short double-helical elements and three loops (D, anti-codon, and T loops). The record is from RNAcentral. RNAcentral also lists the same sequence under 1 other name. Lineage: Bacteria; Pseudomonadati; Gemmatimonadota.
UCCCGGGUAGCUCAGCCAGGUAGAGCAGGUGACUGUUAAUCACCCUGUCGGGGGUUCGAGUCCCUCCCCGGGAG